This 253-nucleotide ribosomal RNA is filed under the name uncultured bacterium. RNAcentral's name for it is "partial 16S ribosomal RNA". It matches the Rfam family "Bacterial small subunit ribosomal RNA", at positions 524 to 776 of the family's 1533-position model. The record is from RNAcentral.
UACGUAGGGCGCAAGCGUUGUCCGGAAUUAUUGGGCGUAAAGAGCUCGUAGGCGGCCUGUUGCGUCCGCUGUGAAAUCCCGGGGCUUAACCCCGGGCGUGCAGUGGAUACGGGCAGGCUGGAGGCAGGCAGGGGAGAACGGAAUUCCCGGUGUAGCGGUGGAAUGCGCAGAUAUCAGGAGGAACACCGGUGGCGAAGGCGGGUCUCUGGGCCGAUACUGACGCUGAGGAGCGAAAGCGUGGGGAGCGAACAGG